Non-coding RNA from Rhopilema esculentum, 3236 nucleotides. The record is from RefSeq and is a predicted model, not a curated record. Lineage: Eukaryota; Metazoa; Cnidaria; Scyphozoa; Rhizostomeae; Rhizostomatidae.
CUCGUCUAGAGUUAUAACAACAAAAAAGUCAUUAUCGCUGCUGCGAUCCAACUUCAGCAAGAUAAAAAGGGGUGGUAAUACUGAAAAAAUCAUACAAUGGGUGAUAAUAUUGUCAAGGUAGCGCGUAAGCAACACGGAUCAUAUCAUUAAUGAAGCUCUGACACAUGGGCAAACAUGAAGUUCAGGUCCUUAAAGGGGAACUGAAGUGAAAAACGAUUUUUUUACCACUGAUAAAGGUUCCCGUGCUGAUUCCAAAACCGUUUGAAUUUUUUUAAUACGUUAUGUAGUUUUUAAGUUAUUAAGUUUUUAAAGUCGAAAUUUGCCCUCAUCGAUGGCGGAGCGAGAACGCGGUCGGACCACUGUGUCACGUGACCUUGUGACGUAAAGUGGUGGACACGAAGAGAUGUUUUGAUGUAAUGUAGUAGUGAGUUUGAUUAGGUUCAUGACAGAUAACAAUCGUGAAAAUUGUGAUAAAAGCAUGAAACUUGGUGAAAAUAUAGAAUUCGGUAUGCGUAACAAGAUAGAAUAUAGAAUCAUUUUGGGAAAAAACCCUUGUGCUAUUUUUAGCCUGGGGUACUUGUGCCCAGUACUCAGAAUACGUUAGUAUGGUAAAUCUAUUUCUGUUAACUAUACAACCAUGAAACUUGGCAAACCGACACAAUUUGACGUGCUGAAAAUGAUAAGAAUGGUCCCCAUCCUCAGAAAUACCCCUUGUGCUAUUUUUAGACUAGGGUACUUGUGCCCAGUACUCAAAAUACGUUAGUAUGGUCAAUCUAUUUCUGUUAACUAUACAGCCAUGAAACUUGGCAAACCGACACAAUUUGACUUGCUGAAAAUGAUAAGAAUGGUCCCCACCCUCAGAAAUACCCCUUGUGCUAUUUUUAGACUGGGGUACUUGUGCCCAGUACUCAAAAUACGUUAGUAUGGUCAAUCUAUUUCUGUUAACUAUACAGCAGGCCUGGCCGUUUGAGGCGAGCGAUAGCUCGCGCUCCCCUCGCAACCUGAGGCGAGCUAUGAAUUGCUCUCCUAAACAGAACAUGAAGGGAGAAUCGCUCCCCUAAAAUUUCCAUUCAUUAGCCUUUUUCCUAUUCAGAGAACCCUGAAAACGGGUUAAUUGGCUUAUUUUUGUGACAGCGAUUUUCUCCCGUCACUGCAUUUUUUGCAAUUAACUUUUUGCUUGUUGGGCGGUUUUUAUUAUGAUAGGCAUAAACUUUGAUCUAUUUGGAAAAGGAUAGUUAACCGAAAGGUACGUUUGUAGCGAUUAGAACCUUUCAAUCUUAAGAAAACAGGAAUAUUUUUGGAAGGAAAGUCGAAGAAAUGGGUAGGAAUUGUAGAUUGGGGAUAUAAUAAGACAGCAGGUCCCUUCCAGCAAUAGAAACAAAACUAUCCCUCAAAGAGAACAGGGUACCCUGUCUUGCAGAUCAAAAACGACAACCAAAACAUGGAAUUCCACUAUCGAGCAGCAUUUACUGAAAAACCCAGAUUGGGUGAAAAACUAUAACGGUGACAUGUUUCGCAUUAUUGGCAAAGCCUGAUCAUCGUUCCAUCUAUGUAGCAGUUGGUAACAUUUUCAAUAGGAAAGGGGCACUUAUUGGAAAACCUCAACAGUCAUGUCCUCGCGUUUUCUGAUGGCCUAUUUCGAUCCAAAACUGGGUAUUUUAGCGUAGAGUUUUCCUUCUAUGUUCUGACGUUUUAUUCUCUGAAGAGUGCUAGACGUAUAAUUAAGUUUGUUUCAAAAUUUCUUUACAUAAAACGGAGAGAGUCUGUUCUUUCAAAUACUUCAAGUAAAGGGGGUGCCUAAGUCACGGUUAAAGCAAAUACAAAUUGAAAGAAGUAAAACAUAACACUCCUGACUGAGGCAAUUACAUUAAGGCAACCGACAGAUACUAAAGGGGCUUAUUAAGUCAUCUGUCGAUUGUCUUCAAAGUGCAUUCUAUGUGUUACUGAUUUAGCUCGCCUCAGCAAAUGAGGGGAGCGAUUCACAGCUCACCUAUAAAAAUACAAACGGCCAGGCCUGAUACAGCCAAGAAACUUGGCAAACCCACAUAAUUUACUUGCAGAAAAUGAUUGAGUGGUCCCCACUUCAGAAAUAACUCUUAAGCUAGUUUUAGAAUGGGGGUCCUGUGCCCAGCACUCAGAGGACAUAACUAUGGUUAAUCCAUUUCUGUUAGCUGUAGAGCCAUGAAACUUGCCAAUCCUACACAAUUCGGUUUGCUGAAAAAGACAAAAGUAGUCCCCCACCUCAGAAAUACCCCUUUAAACAUGAUUUUCUAUGUCUAUAGAACAUGAUAUCAAAGCAUUUUCUGGUAUAACUCCAGGCACAAAAAACAAUUCAUACCAGGAUGUACAUAAAGGAGAAGGAUUUAAAGCACAACCAUUAAAUGAUGUAUAUAUAUGUUUCCAAGUUUAUUAAAAGACCUUAUCUUAACAAAAGAUAUGUCAGGGUUUCUAUCUCAUAACCGUCUAUGAAAAAUGUUGAGUUGAAGCAAAUUUCAGAAAAAUAUAACCAUUGGGCACCAAAAAACUUCAUUCUCAAAAUUUGAAAACAGUGUAUCUAAACAACAGGCAGUAACAGAAUACAUUAAAAGAACAUUGUACUGUGAAGGUAAAACAUUUUCUUCUGAUUAUGUAUAAAAAAUGUUACCAAGCAGGUGGUACAGGGCCAUUAUUGUAAGAGAAAAACUUUAUCAAAUCCAAACUAUUCUACACAUUUUGAUGUGAGUAAAAUAUCUUGAAAAAUAUACCUUAGGAAUCUUGAAAAUAUCAAGCCUUGCUCAAUCUCCACUAGUUUUAACAAAUUUCCAACUUAUAACAUGACCCCACUAGUUCUAAAUUUCUCUUCUGGCUAUUAUGAACUGAAAGUCUGGUCCCUUUGAAUAACCCCUGUAUAUAACCCUGUACUCCACUGUAUAUGUAGUAGGUAGCUGAGUUUUGCAUUUUCAUUGUCUCUCUGCAGAAUUUUGAAACCCUUGUCUUCUUUGACUAAAGUUCUUUUCUUUACAUUUUGUGAUAAAUUCAUACUUAAAGUUGUCCAGUUUUUCCAGCACAAAUACCCAAAAACCAGCAAACCAUCCAUUGAUCGGUUUGUAGAUACACUGUUUGUAGAUACCUAGCAAAAUGGAUAUAAUUUUAGGUAUUAAUCUAUUUUAGGCAUAUUUAUGCAAUUCUAUUAAAUAUUUGACAUUUUCGAAUUAUCAGUCCAAAAAUCUUAAUUGCAGUAAGAUUUAAUAAUACUU